RNAcentral lists this ribosomal RNA (786 nucleotides) under uncultured archaeon. RNAcentral's name for it is "bacterial SSU rRNA". It matches the Rfam family "Archaeal small subunit ribosomal RNA", at positions 85 to 876 of the family's 1478-position model. The record is from RNAcentral.
ACUGCUCAGUAACACGUGGAUAACCUGCCCUGCGGUGGGAAAUAACCCCGGGAAACUGGGGAUAAUGUCCCAUAGGCUACGGAUGCUGGAAUGCUCUGUAGCUCAAAGAUUUAUCGCCACAGGAUGGGUCUGCGGCCGAUUAGGUAGUUGUUGGGGUAACGGCCCAACAAGCCUUUGAUCGGUACGGGUUGUGGGAGCAAGAGCCCGGAGAUGGAUUCUGAGACACGAAUCCAGGCCCUACGGGGCGCAGCAGGCGCGAAAACUUUACAAUGCGGGAAACCGUGAUAAGGGAACUCCGAGUGUCCGUAAAUGCGGACUGUCCGUAUGUUUAAAAAGCAUGCGAAGAAAGGGCCGGGCAAGACCGGUGCCAGCCGCCGCGGUAAUACCGGCGGCUCGAGUGGUGGCCACUAUUACUGGGCUUAAAGCGUUCGUAGCUGGGUCGUUAAGUCUCUUGGGAAAUCUACCGGCUUAACCGAUAGGCGUCCAAGGGAUACUGGCGAUCUAGGGACCGGGAGAGGUGAGGGGUACUUCAGGGGUAGGAGUGAAAUCCUGUAAUCCUUGGGGGACCACCUGUGGCGAAGGCGCCUCACCAGAACGGCUCCGACAGUGAGGGACGAAAGCUGGGGGAGCAAACCGGAUUAGAUACCCGGGUAGUCCCAGCCGUAAACGAUGCGCGUUAGGUGUAUCGAUGACCACGAGUCAUCGAGGUGCCGAAGGGAAACCGUGAAACGCGCCGCCUGGGAAGUACGGUCGCAAGGCUGAAACUUAAAGGAAUUGGCGGGGGAG